This 459-nucleotide ribosomal RNA is filed under the name uncultured bacterium. Its description in RNAcentral is "partial 16S ribosomal RNA". It matches the Rfam family "Bacterial small subunit ribosomal RNA", at positions 338 to 795 of the family's 1533-position model. The record is from RNAcentral.
CCUACGGGAGGCAGCAGUGAGGAAUAUUGGUCAAUGGGCGCGAGCCUGAACCAGCCAAGUCGCGUGAGGGAAGACGGUCCUAUGGUUUGUAAACCUCUUUUGUCGGGGAGCAAAAGACGCCACGCGUGGCGUUCCGAGAUUACCCGAAGUAAAAGCAACGGCGAAAUCCGUGCCAGCAGCCGCGGUAAUACGGAGGAUGCGAGCGUUAUCUGGAUUUAUUGGGUUUAAAGGGUGCGCAGGCGGAAGAUCAAGUCAGCGGUAAAAUUGAGAGGCUCAACCUCUUCGAGCCGUUGAAACGGGUUAUCGUGAGUGGGCGAGAGGUAUGCGGAAUGCGUGGUGUAGCGGUGAAAUGCAUAGAUAUCACGCAGAACUCCGAUUGCGAAGGCAGCAUACCGGCGCCCAACUGACGCUGAAGCACGAAAGCGUGGGUAUCGAACAGGAUUAGAUACCCCUGUAGUC